RNAcentral lists this ribosomal RNA (486 nucleotides) under uncultured bacterium. RNAcentral's name for it is "bacterial SSU rRNA". It matches the Rfam family "Bacterial small subunit ribosomal RNA", at positions 36 to 507 of the family's 1533-position model. The record is from RNAcentral.
CUGGCGGCGUGCCUAAUACAUGCAAGUCGAGCGGACCAAAGGGAGCUUGCUCCUGGAGGUUAGCGGCGAACGGGUGAGUAACACGUGGGCAACCUGCCUGUAAGACUGGGAUAACAUCGAGAAAUCGGUGCUAAUACCGGAUAAUAAAAAGAACUGCAUGGUCUUUUUGAAAGAUGGUUUCGGCUAUCACUUACAGAUGGGCCCGCGGCGCAUUAGCUAGUUGGUGAGGUAACGGCUCACCAAGGCAACGAUGCGUAGCCGACCUGAGAGGGUGAUCGGCCACACUGGGACUGAGACACGGCCCAGACUCCUACGGGAGGCAGCAGUAGGGAAUCUUCCGCAAUGGACGAAAGUCUGACGGAGCAACGCCGCGUGAGUGAUGAAGGUUUUCGGACCGUAAAACUCUGUUGUUAGGGAAGAACAAGUGCCGUUCGAAAGGGCGGCACCUUGACGGUACCUAACGAGAAAGCCACGGCUAACUACGUG